AGGGAAAGAGAGAAAGAGAGAGAGAGAGAGAGUUUUAAAUAUAAUAAGUAUUUAAUUUAUAUUUAUUAGUCUGUGUUGCUGCCUUUUCCUGACCCUCCCUCCUCCCAAUCAUGUGUGAUUAUUGAUGUGAUUAUUGAUGGUGUAUCAUUGAGGAUGGCUUCAGACAAAGAAGGGAGCCGCAGCAGAGGGAUGAAAGAGCCACUUGCGGCUCCGGAGACGCGGGUUGCCGACCCCUGACCUAGGGCUUGACACCGAUUAGGUCCUCUGUACAACGCAGCCCAGUUGCGUCAAUCGAGAUACAACUCCCACAGUAUCAACCUGAUGCAUCGUGGCUCUGACCUGUUCAAUCUGCACUUGGUGUCCUCAUGCCUUUAACGCUGCUCUCAUCAUUCUGUAUCCACAAUGAGGCAUGUGUUGUUUUCCAUAUGUAACACAAGCAUCUAUCACUUCGUCUGGGAGCCUUCUAUUCAUUCGUCUGAAUACAGUGCAUGUGCUUACUCCAAGCCUGUGGGCAAUGGUUUUGGAAUAGAACAGUUCACGUCCAGGAGAUAUGAAAUGUAAUUCGAUGAUAUUAUAAAACAUGGUCGAUCUUUUGCCGCUCGCUACUUCAGAAUAGUCACAGUGGCGUCUCUCUGUCUGACAGGUUUUGUUGAAUUAGUCUGAGCAGUUCUGUGAUACCUUUUAAGACAUCCUCUGGGACAGCGACUACAUAACAAAUAGCACUUAAAUAGACAAAUUCUUGAACAAUCAUGAGCGAAGUCUUUCCAAUAUAAAAUCCAAAAGCAAAUGCUGAAAUU
Long non-coding RNA from Tachysurus fulvidraco (yellow catfish), 797 nucleotides. RefSeq lists it as uncharacterized. Lineage: Eukaryota; Metazoa; Chordata; Actinopteri; Siluriformes; Bagridae. The record is from RefSeq and is a predicted model, not a curated record. The transcript is spliced from 2 exons.